CAGGGCUACCUAUGGGGCACCCCAUGGGGCUCAUGGGGCCACCAGGACUACCUAUGGGGCACCCCAUGGUGCCACCAGGGCCACUAGGGCCACCAGGGCCACCUAUGGGGUGCCCCAUGGGGCUCAUGGGGCUCACAGGGCCACCUAUGGGGCACUCCAUGGGGCUUAUGGGGCCACCAGAGCCACCAGGGCCACGUAUGGGGCACCCCAUAGGGUCACCAGGGCCACCAGGGCCACCUAUGGGGCACUCCAUGGGGCUCAUGGGGCCACCAGGGCCACCAGAGCCACCUAUGGGGCACCCCAUGGGGCUCACAGGGCCACCGGGGCCACCAGGGCUACCUAUGGGGCACCCCAUGAGGCUCACAGGGCCACCGGGGCCACCAGGGCCACAUAUGGGGCACCCCAUGGGGUCACCAGGGCCACUAGGGCCACCAGGGCUACCUAUGGGGCACCGCAUGGGGCUCAUGGGGCCAGUGGGGCCACCAGGGCUACCUAUGGGGCACCCCAUGGGGUCACCAAGACCACCAAGGCCACCAGGGCUACCUAUGGGGCACCCCAUGGGGCUCAUGGGGCCAGUGGGGCCACCAGGGCUACCUAUGGGGCACUCCAUGGCACCACCAGGGCCACCAGGGCUACCUAUGGGGCACCCCAUGGGGCUCACGGGGCCAGUGAGGUCACCAGGGCCACCUAUGGGGCACCCCAUAAGGCUAAUGGGGCCACCAGGACUACCUAUGGGGCACCCUAUGGGGCUCACAGGGCCACUUAUGGGGCACCCCAUGGGGCUCAUGGGGCCAGUGAGGCCACCAGGGCCACCUAUGGGGCCACCAGGGCCACCUAUGGGGCACCCCAUGGGGCUCACAGAGCCACCGGGGCCACCCAAGGGCCACCCUGCAUGGGGCACACCAGCCCUGGGACACCCCAUGGGGCUCAUGGGGCCACCAGGGCCACCCAAUGGACCUCCUAUGGGGCUGAUGGUGCCAGUGGGACCCGCUAUGGGGCUGAUGGGGCCACCAGACCCACCUGUGAGAUCUUCUAUGGGGCUGAUGGUGUCAGUGGGACCUCCUAUGGGGUUGAUGGGGCCACCAGGUCCACCCACGGGCCCGCCUAUGGGGUUGAUGGGGCCACCAGGUCCACCCAUGGCCCUUCCUACGGGGCUGAUGAGGCCACCAGGUCCACCCAAGGCCCCUCCUACGGGGCUGAUGAGGCCACCAGGUCCACCCAAGGCCCCUCCUAGAGGGUUGAUGGGGCCACCAGGUCCACCCAUGGGCCCUCCUAGGGGGUUGAUGGGGCUACCAGGUCCACCCACGGACUCUCCUAUGGCGCUGAUGGGGCCACCAGGUCCACCCACGGCCCCUCCUACGGGGUUGAUGGGGCCAGUGGGACCCGCUACGGUGUUGAUGGGGCCACCAGGUCCACCCACGCACUCUCCUAUGGGGCUCAUGGGGCCAGGGGGACCCGCCGUGGUGUCGAUGGGGCCACCAGGUCCACCCCCGAGCCCUCCAGUGGGGUCCCCGGUGUCCCCAGGGCCACCCACGAGGGGCAGCACCGCGGGGCCGAAGCGGUAGGUGAGCUUGCGGCGCACCUUGCGCACCUGGCCGGAGCGGGCGU
This 1608-nucleotide long non-coding RNA is filed under the name Dromaius novaehollandiae (emu). Its description in RNAcentral is "lncRNA (ENSDNVG00000010345.1)". The record is from RNAcentral. Lineage: Eukaryota; Metazoa; Chordata; Aves; Casuariiformes; Dromaiidae.